This 1555-nucleotide ribosomal RNA is filed under the name Staphylococcus aureus. RNAcentral describes it as "16S ribosomal RNA". It matches the Rfam family "Bacterial small subunit ribosomal RNA". Lineage: Bacteria; Bacillati; Bacillota; Bacilli; Caryophanales; Staphylococcaceae. RNAcentral also lists the same sequence under 1 other name. The record is from RNAcentral.
UUUAUGGAGAGUUUGAUCCUGGCUCAGGAUGAACGCUGGCGGCGUGCCUAAUACAUGCAAGUCGAGCGAACGGACGAGAAGCUUGCUUCUCUGAUGUUAGCGGCGGACGGGUGAGUAACACGUGGAUAACCUACCUAUAAGACUGGGAUAACUUCGGGAAACCGUAGCUAAUACCGGAUAAUAUUUUGAACCGCAUGGUUCAAAAGUGAAAGACGGUCUUGCUGUCACUUAUAGAUGGAUCCGCGCUGCAUUAGCUAGUUGGUAAGGUAACGGCUUACCAAGGCAACGAUGCAUAGCCGACCUGAGAGGGUGAUCGGCCACACUGGAACUGAGACACGGUCCAGACUCCUACGGGAGGCAGCAGUAGGGAAUCUUCCGCAAUGGGCGAAAGCCUGACGGAGCAACGCCGCGUGAGUGAUGAAGGUCUUCGGAUCGUAAAACUCUGUUAUUAGGGAAGAACAUAUGUGUAAGUAACUGUGCACAUCUUGACGGUACCUAAUCAGAAAGCCACGGCUAACUACGUGCCAGCAGCCGCGGUAAUACGUAGGUGGCAAGCGUUAUCCGGAAUUAUUGGGCGUAAAGCGCGCGUAGGCGGUUUUUUAAGUCUGAUGUGAAAGCCCACGGCUCAACCGUGGAGGGUCAUUGGAAACUGGAAAACUUGAGUGCAGAAGAGGAAAGUGGAAUUCCAUGUGUAGCGGUGAAAUGCGCAGAGAUAUGGAGGAACACCAGUGGCGAAGGCGACUUUCUGGUCUGUAACUGACGCUGAUGUGCGAAAGCGUGGGGAUCAAACAGGAUUAGAUACCCUGGUAGUCCACGCCGUAAACGAUGAGUGCUAAGUGUUAGGGGGUUUCCCGCCCCUUAGUGCUGCAGCUAACGCAUUAAGCACUCCGCCUGGGGAGUACGACCGCAAGGUUGAAACUCAAAGGAAUUGACGGGGACCCGCACAAGCGGUGGAGCAUGUGGUUUAAUUCGAAGCAACGCGAAGAACCUUACCAAAUCUUGACAUCCUUUGACAACUCUAGAGAUAGAGCCUUCCCCUUCGGGGGACAAAGUGACAGGUGGUGCAUGGUUGUCGUCAGCUCGUGUCGUGAGAUGUUGGGUUAAGUCCCGCAACGAGCGCAACCCUUAAGCUUAGUUGCCAUCAUUAAGUUGGGCACUCUAAGUUGACUGCCGGUGACAAACCGGAGGAAGGUGGGGAUGACGUCAAAUCAUCAUGCCCCUUAUGAUUUGGGCUACACACGUGCUACAAUGGACAAUACAAAGGGCAGCGAAACCGCGAGGUCAAGCAAAUCCCAUAAAGUUGUUCUCAGUUCGGAUUGUAGUCUGCAACUCGACUACAUGAAGCUGGAAUCGCUAGUAAUCGUAGAUCAGCAUGCUACGGUGAAUACGUUCCCGGGUCUUGUACACACCGCCCGUCACACCACGAGAGUUUGUAACACCCGAAGCCGGUGGAGUAACCUUUUAGGAGCUAGCCGUCGAAGGUGGGACAAAUGAUUGGGGUGAAGUCGUAACAAGGUAGCCGUAUCGGAAGGUGCGGCUGGAUCACCUCCUUUCU